Molecule: long non-coding RNA, 789 nt
Filed under: Pan troglodytes (chimpanzee)
Lineage: Eukaryota; Metazoa; Chordata; Mammalia; Primates; Hominidae
Description: long non-coding RNA NONPTRT002529
Source: RNAcentral
CUCCGCUCCGGGCCGCUCCGCUCUGGGCGUCAGGGCGCGGGGAGCUGCCCCGGGGUUCUGUCCACCGGGGAGGAAAGCCACGAGCACUGAGCGCCUCCUGAGAGCCAGCCCUGACGUGAACUCAUUUUAUCUGCCACGACCCAGAAGGAGUCUACUGCUAAGAUUUCAGCAUGUCCUGUGGCUGAGUUAAUCAGAGUUAUGACAGGAAGGUACCGGGCACACCAUCGCAGUGCUCCAUCAAUGCUAGUAUGUUGUGUUCUUUCCUUCAUAUCAAGUCAACUCAAGCUUGCUCUACUUACCUGGUGUACACAGUCUAAGAACUGUAAGAAGACUGGAGCAAAACCACUCCCCUGACAGUUGAGGGUCAAGCUGCUCCUCUGACUGAAUUUGUGACCAAAAGAGAGCCACUCUUUUUCAACCAACAUCCGGAAGCCUUCAAGUGUCCUAUAAAAGGGAUCACUGAGUAACUGAACCAGGGAUGUCACCUAGGGCAUAAGCAGGAUGGAUUGUCAUUAAUUUUAGUUCUGAAAAAGUCCUAUUACUAAGAUAAAAACACUUCCUUCUGAUGAUAGCUAAUUCACAAAUUUACCUGGACAGCAAAUUUGUUCACUAACCAUUCCAGGAUGGCCAAUAAAAUUAAUUUUGUAAACUUGCCAGUAAAAACUAAAGCUCAAAUUCAUUUUGGCUACAGGUUUACUUUCAGGGAAUUAAGACUUUAAUCCUUAACUGGCCAGUUUGCUGACAGCAACCUUUUCCUAAGUUAAUCAGAGGCCAGAGGAUCAGUUAAAA